UUGACCUCAAAUCAGGUAGGACUACCCGCUGAACUUAAGCAUAUCAAUAAGCGGAGGAAAAGAAACUAACAAGGAUUCCCCUAGUAACUGCGAGUGAAGCGGGAUAAGCUCAAAUUUGAAAUCUGGCAGUCUUUUUUUUCUUCUUUGGCUGUCCGAGUUGUAAUCUAGAGAA
This 172-nucleotide ribosomal RNA is filed under the name Amanita rhacopus. Its description in RNAcentral is "partial 28S ribosomal RNA". It matches the Rfam family "Eukaryotic large subunit ribosomal RNA", at positions 1 to 157 of the family's 3401-position model. The record is from RNAcentral. Lineage: Eukaryota; Fungi; Basidiomycota; Agaricomycetes; Agaricales; Amanitaceae.